This is a non-coding RNA of Podarcis lilfordi (Lilford's wall lizard), 107 nucleotides long. The record is from the annotation of a GenBank genome assembly. Lineage: Eukaryota; Metazoa; Chordata; Lepidosauria; Squamata; Lacertidae.
AGUUUAGUCCGUCAGUCUCAUUUCUUACAAGGCAAGCAGAAAAAUAAACAAUUCAAAUUGUUUAUUUUUUUCUGCUUGUCUUGUAAUAAAUGAGAUUGACUGGCUAA